RNAcentral lists this ribosomal RNA (495 nucleotides) under uncultured bacterium. RNAcentral's name for it is "partial 16S ribosomal RNA". It matches the Rfam family "Bacterial small subunit ribosomal RNA", at positions 28 to 507 of the family's 1533-position model. The record is from RNAcentral.
GAUGAACGCUGGCGGCGUGCCUAAUACAUGCAAGUAGAACGCUGAAGGAGGAGCUUGCUCUUCUGGAUGAGUUGCGAACGGGUGAGUAACGCGUAGGUAACCUGCCUGGUAGCGGGGGAUAACUAUUGGAAACGAUAGCUAAUACCGCAUGACAACAGUUAUUGCAUGAUAACUGUUUAAAAGGGGCAACUGCUCCACUACCAGGUGGACCUGCGUUGUAUUAGCUAGUUGGUGAGGUAACGGCUCACCAAGGCGACGAUACAUAGCCGACCUGAGAGGGGGAUCGGCCACACUGGGACUGAGACACGGCCCAGACUCCUACGGGAGGCAGCAGUAGGGAAUCUUCGGCAAUGGACGGAAGUCUGACCGAGCAACGCCGCGUGAGUGAAGAAGGUUUUCGGAUCGUAAAGCUCUGUUGUAAGAGAAGAACGAGUGUGAGAGUGGAAAGUUCACACUGUGACGGUAUCUUACCAGAAAGGGACGGCUAACUACGUG